This 172-nucleotide non-coding RNA is filed under the name Ahrensia sp. The record is from RNAcentral. Lineage: Bacteria; Pseudomonadati; Pseudomonadota; Alphaproteobacteria; Hyphomicrobiales; Ahrensiaceae.
UGGUGUGAGCGAUGGAAUGGUGCCCGCGUUCGGUGAACGGGAAGUCCGUGCAAUUCGGAGACGUGCCCAACGCUGUGAUGGAGAUGGUCGCGCACAGGCCACUGGGAAACCGGGAAGGCGCGCAAACCAGUUGAUCCUAAGUCAGAAGACCGGCCGGACAAAAACGGUUCUU